GAUGAACGCUGGCGGCGUGCUUAACACAUGCAAGUCGAACGGUGAAGGCGGAGCUUGCUCUGCUGGAUCAGUGGCGAACGGGUGAGUAACACGUGAGCAAUCUGCCCCUGACUCUGGGAUAAGCGCUGGAAACGGCGUCUAAUACUGGAUACGAGCUGCGAAGGCAUCUUCAGCAGCUGGAAAGAAUUUCGGUCAGGGAUGAGCUCGCGGGUUAUCAGCUUGUUGGUGAGGUAAUGGCUCACCAAGGCGUCGACGGGUAGCCGGCCUGAGAGGGUGACCGGCCACACUGGGACUGAGACACGGCCCAGACGCCUACGGUAGGCAGCAGUGGGGAAUAUUGCACAAUGGGCGAAAGCCUGAUGCAGCAACGCCGCGUGAGGGAAGACGGCCUUCGGGUUGUAAACCUCUUUUAGCAGGGAAGAAGCGAAAGUGACGGUACCUGCAGAAAAAGCGCCGGCUAACUACGUG
RNAcentral lists this ribosomal RNA (468 nucleotides) under uncultured bacterium. RNAcentral's name for it is "partial 16S ribosomal RNA". It matches the Rfam family "Bacterial small subunit ribosomal RNA", at positions 28 to 507 of the family's 1533-position model. The record is from RNAcentral.